This 493-nucleotide ribosomal RNA is filed under the name Talicada nyseus. RNAcentral's name for it is "partial 16S ribosomal RNA". The stretch from base 346 to 493 matches the Rfam family "Bacterial large subunit ribosomal RNA", at positions 2473 to 2621 of the family's 2925-position model. The record is from RNAcentral. Lineage: Eukaryota; Metazoa; Arthropoda; Insecta; Lepidoptera; Lycaenidae.
UUUUUAAUUAAAGGGCUGCAGUAAUUUGACUGUACAAAGGUAGCAUAAUCAUUAGUCUUUUAAUUGAAGACUUGUAUGAAAGAUUUGAUGAGAUAUAAACUGUCUCUUUAUUACAAUUAAAAUUUAAUUUUUUAGUUAAAAAGCUAAAAUAUUUUUAAAAGACGAGAAGACCCUAUAGAGUUUUAUAGUUUUUAUUAUAAAAUAUUUAUAUAAAAUUUUAAUGUUAUAUUAUAAAAAUUAUUUUGUUGGGGAGAUAAAAAAAUUAAAUAAACUUUUUUAAAUAUUUUCAUGAAUAAUUGAGUAAUUGAUCCAUAUUUAUUGAUUAAAAGAAAAAAUUACCUUAGGGAUAACAGCGUAAUAUUUUUUUUUAGUACAAAUAAGAAAAAAAGUUUGCGACCUCGAUGUUGGAUUAAGAUAAAAUUUAAAUGUAAAAGUUUAAAAUUUUGAUCUGUUCGAUCAUUAAAAUCUUACAUGAUCUGAGCUCAAAACCGGA